This 83-nucleotide transfer RNA is filed under the name Candidatus Doudnabacteria bacterium RIFCSPHIGHO2_01_FULL_43_23. RNAcentral describes it as "tRNA-Leu". It matches the Rfam family "tRNA". From Rfam's summary of the family: Transfer RNA (tRNA) molecules are approximately 80 nucleotides in length. Their secondary structure includes four short double-helical elements and three loops (D, anti-codon, and T loops). The record is from RNAcentral. Lineage: Bacteria; Candidatus Doudnaibacteriota.
GGGCACGUGGCGGAAUGGCAGACGCGCUGGCUUCAGGAGCCAGUGAGAGCAAUCUCGUGGAGGUUCGACUCCUCUCGUGCCCA